This 255-nucleotide ribosomal RNA is filed under the name uncultured bacterium. RNAcentral describes it as "partial 16S ribosomal RNA". It matches the Rfam family "Bacterial small subunit ribosomal RNA", at positions 99 to 354 of the family's 1533-position model. The record is from RNAcentral.
CGGACGGGUGAGUAACGCGUGGGUAACCUGCCAUAUACAGGGGGAUAACAGCGAGAAAUUGCUGCUAAAACCGCAUAAGCGCACGGAGUCGCAUGACUCAGUGUGAAAAACUCCGGUGGUAUAUGAUGGACCCGCGUCUGAUUAGCCAGUUGGCAGGGUAACGGCCUACCAAAGCGACGAUCAGUAGCCGGCCUGAGAGGGUGGACGGCCACAUUGGGACUGAGACACGGCCCAAACUCCUACGGAAGGCAGCAG